UUCGGGGUACUCGAGUGGCGAACGGGUGAGUAACACGUGGGUGAUCUGCCCUGCACUUUGGGAUAAGCCUGGGAAACUGGGUCUAAUACCGAAUAUGACCGCNCACUUCCUGGUGUGUGGUGGAAAGCUUUUGCGGUGUGGGAUGGGCCCGCGGCCUAUCAGCUUGUUGGUGGGGUAAUGGCCUACCAAGGCGACGACGGGUAGCCGGCCUGAGAGGGUGACCGGCCACACUGGGACUGAGAUACGGCCCAGACUCCUACGGGAGGCAGCAGUGGGGAAUAUUGCACAAUGGGCGCAAGCCUGAUGCAGCGACGCCGCGUGAGGGAUGACGGCCUUCGGGUUGUAAACCUCUUUCAAUAGGGACGAAGCGCAAGUGACGGUACCUAUAGAAGAAGGACCGGCCAACUACGUGCCAGCAGCCGCGGUAAUACGUAGGGUCCGAGCGUUGUCCGGAAUUACUGGGCGUAAAGAGCUCGUAGGUGGUUUGUCGCGUUGUUCGUGAAAACUCACAGCUUAACUGUGGGCGUGCGGGCGAUACGGGCAGACUAGAGUACUGCAGGGGAGACUGGAAUUCCUGGUGUAGCGGUGGAAUGCGCAGAUAUCAGGAGGAACACCGGUGGCGAAGGCGGGUCUCUGGGCAGUAACUGACGCUGAGGAGCGAAAGCGUGGGGAGCGAACAGGAUUAGAUACCCUGGUAGUCCACGCCGUAAACGGUGGGUACUAGGUGUGGGUUUCCUUCCUUGGGAUCCGUGCCGUAGCUAACGCAUUAAGUACCCCGCCUGGGGAGUACGGCCGCAAGGCUAAAACUCAAAGAAAUUGACGGGGGCCCGCACAAGCGGCGGAGCAUGUGGAUUAAUUCGAUGCAACGCGAAGAACCUUACCUGGGUUUGACAUGCACAGGACGCCAGUAGAGAUAUUGGUUCCCUUGUGGCCUGUGUGCAGGUGGUGCAUGGCUGUCGUCAGCUCGUGUCGUGAGAUGUUGGGUUAAGUCCCGCAACGAGCGCAACCCUUGUCUCAUGUUGCCAGCACGUAAUGGUGGGGACUCGUGAGAGACUGCCGGGGUCAACUCGGAGGAAGGUGGGGAUGACGUCAAGUCAUCAUGCCCCUUAUGUCCAGGGCUUCACACAUGCUACAAUGGCCGGUACAAAGGGCUGCGAUGCCGUGRGGUGGAGCGAAUCCUUUMAAAGCCKGWCUCAGWUCGGRUCGGGRUCUGMAACUCGACCCCGUGAAGYNNNNNACGCUAGUAAUCRCAGAUCAGCAACGCUGCGGUGAAUACGUUCCCGGGCCUUGUACACACCGCCCGWCACGUCAUGAAAGUCGGUAACACCCGAAGCCA
RNAcentral lists this ribosomal RNA (1336 nucleotides) under Mycolicibacterium septicum. RNAcentral describes it as "bacterial SSU rRNA". It matches the Rfam family "Bacterial small subunit ribosomal RNA", at positions 81 to 1429 of the family's 1533-position model. Lineage: Bacteria; Bacillati; Actinomycetota; Actinomycetes; Mycobacteriales; Mycobacteriaceae. The record is from RNAcentral.